RNAcentral lists this long non-coding RNA (202 nucleotides) under Eucalyptus grandis. RNAcentral describes it as "long non-coding RNA (EGRA_LNC007628)". The record is from RNAcentral. Lineage: Eukaryota; Viridiplantae; Streptophyta; Magnoliopsida; Myrtales; Myrtaceae.
CACCAGAUCCCUCGCCAGAGCCCCCCGUGCUGAAGCUUCAACGAUCGCGACCCGACUGACCCGCGGCGCCCGUAGACGUCGGGCUUCUUCACGCCCAGUCGACGCCGCGACCCAUCUGCUCCCACGGUUCCGUCAGUCGACGCCGCGACCCGUCUACUCCCGUGGCCUCGCCAAUCGACGCCGCGACCGGACGACCCGCGAU